Molecule: transfer RNA, 73 nt
Organism: Cavia porcellus (domestic guinea pig)
Lineage: Eukaryota; Metazoa; Chordata; Mammalia; Rodentia; Caviidae
Rfam family: tRNA
About the family: Transfer RNA (tRNA) molecules are approximately 80 nucleotides in length. Their secondary structure includes four short double-helical elements and three loops (D, anti-codon, and T loops).
Source: Rfam
GGGGAUUUAGCUCAGCGGCAUAAGCGCCUGCCUUGCAAGCAGGCAGUCGUGGGUUCGAUCCCUGGUACCGCUA